Molecule: ribosomal RNA, 509 nt
Filed under: uncultured bacterium
Lineage: Bacteria
Description: bacterial SSU rRNA
Rfam family: Bacterial small subunit ribosomal RNA
Source: RNAcentral
GACGAACGCUGGCGGCGUGGAUUAGGCAUGCAAGUCGAACGGUAUCAUCCUUUCGGGGGUGAGAGAGUGGCGAACUGGUGAGUAACACGUAGGUUAUCUACCCUCAAGACGGGGACAACCCAGGGAAACUUGGGCUAAUACCGGAUGUGAGCAACUUUUAGUUGUUUGAAAGGUGGCGUAAGCUGUCGCUUGGGGAUGAGCCUGCGUCCUAUUAGUUAGUUGGUGAGGUAACGGCUCACCUAGGCAAUGAUAGGUAGGCGGCCUUAACGGGUGGUCGCCCACACUGGGAUUGAGAUACGGCCCAGACUCCUACGGGAGGCAGCAGUCGAGAAUAGUCUACAAUGGUCGGAAGACUGAUAGUGCGACGCCGCGUGAACGAUGAAUCCCUUCGGGGUGUAAAGUUCUUUUAUAUGUGAGCAGUGCUUCUUAUAUUAACAGUAUGGGGAGAGAGAUAUUAGCAUAUGAAUAAGCAACGGCUAAACUCCGUGCCAGCAGCCGCGGUAAAAAUA